RNAcentral lists this transfer RNA (72 nucleotides) under Bos taurus (domestic cattle). It matches the Rfam family "tRNA". Rfam says of the family: Transfer RNA (tRNA) molecules are approximately 80 nucleotides in length. The record is from Rfam by way of RNAcentral. Lineage: Eukaryota; Metazoa; Chordata; Mammalia; Artiodactyla; Bovidae. RNAcentral also lists the same sequence under 4 other names.
UCCCUGGAGGUCCAGUGGUUAGGACUUGGUGCUCUCAAUGUUGAGACCCAAGUUCAAACCUUGGCUGGGGAA